GCAAGUAAAAGUCGUAACAAGGUUUCCGUAGGUGAACCUGCGGAAGGAUCAUUAAAGUUAUAGUCCCCCGGCCCUCUGGGCUGGGGUCUUCUAUACCACCCUUUGUUUAUUACACCUUUGUUGCUUUGGCAGGCCUGCCCUCGGGCUGCUGGCUCCGGCCGGCUCGCGUCUGCCAGAGGACCUAAACUCUGUUUGUAUAUGAAGUCUGAGUACUAUAUAAUAGUUAAAACUUUCAACAACGGAUCUCUUGGUUCUG
This 256-nucleotide unclassified non-coding RNA is filed under the name plant metagenome. Its description in RNAcentral is "partial contains small subunit ribosomal RNA, internal transcribed spacer 1, and 5.8S ribosomal RNA". The stretch from base 1 to 54 matches the Rfam family "Eukaryotic small subunit ribosomal RNA", at positions 1778 to 1831 of the family's 1831-position model. The record is from RNAcentral.